AUGUGGUUUAAUUCGAUGCAACGCGAAGAACCGUUUACCUGGGUUUGACAUGCUAGUGGUAAUGAAGCGAAAGCUAAGUGACCCGCAAGGAGCUAGCACAGGUGCUGCAUGGCUGUCGUCAGCUCGUGUCGUGAGAUGUUCGGUUAAGUCCGCUAACGAGCGCAACCCUCGCUGUGUGUUACAAGUGUCACACAGGACCGCCGGGUCUUUAAAGCCGGAGGAAGUGGGGAUGACGUCAAGUCAGCAUGGCCUUUAUGUCCAGGGCUACACACACGCUACAAUGGUCAGCACAAUAGGUAGCCAAGCCGCGAGGUGGAGCCAAUCCUCAAAGCUGGCCUCAGUUCAGAUCGCAGGCUGCAACCCGCCUGCGUGAAGCCGGAGUUGCUAGUAACCGCAGGUCAGCUAUACUGCGGUGAAUACGUUCCCGGGGCUU
RNAcentral lists this ribosomal RNA (433 nucleotides) under uncultured Fastidiosipila sp. Its description in RNAcentral is "bacterial SSU rRNA". It matches the Rfam family "Bacterial small subunit ribosomal RNA", at positions 939 to 1382 of the family's 1533-position model. The record is from RNAcentral. Lineage: Bacteria; Bacillati; Bacillota; Clostridia; Eubacteriales; Oscillospiraceae.